RNAcentral lists this non-coding RNA (30 nucleotides) under Rattus norvegicus (Norway rat). The record is from RNAcentral. Lineage: Eukaryota; Metazoa; Chordata; Mammalia; Rodentia; Muridae.
UUUAAAGGGAUCCUGGGGUUCAGUCUAUGA